This 210-nucleotide ribosomal RNA is filed under the name Triticum aestivum (bread wheat). Its description in RNAcentral is "partial small subunit ribosomal RNA". The record is from RNAcentral. Lineage: Eukaryota; Viridiplantae; Streptophyta; Magnoliopsida; Poales; Poaceae.
CACGGGCCCGCUUCCAAGCGCGUCUGCGUGUCGGCCACCCACGCCGUGUCCUUCAAGUGCCACUUCCACCGCACCAACUCCUAGGGUCACGGCCAUGGCCAGGGCCAGGGAAGCCGCCCUUCUUUGCCCCCUUCACCGGCCGCGGCCAACGCGGUGCCGCGGCACCCGGCCUCGCCGUCCUCGUCCUCCAGCACCGUCGCGACCCAGUGA